AAACAUCACAAGCCAAUCUGAAAGAAAAUGGAGUUCAACUAAGACUUACUAUUGUAGACACACCGGGCUUUGGGGACCAAGUAGACAACAGCAAUUGCUGGGCACCAAUCUUGGAUCACAUAGACAGCAAAUUUGAGGAGUACCUGAAUUCAGAGUCGAGAGUAAACAGAUAUUCAAUACCAGACAAAAGAGUACAAUGUUGUCUAUACUUCAUAGCACCUUCAGGUCAUGGGUUGAAACCUUUGGACGUAGAGUUCAUGAAGAGGUUACAUGACAAGGUAAACAUCAUCCCACUCAUAGCCAAAGCAGACACACUCACGCCAGAAGAGUGCAGAGAAUUCAAGAAAAGGAUAAUGGCUGAAAUCAAUGAACACAAGAUCAAGAUCUAUGAAUUCCCUGACAUCGAGGAAGAGGAAGAGAACAAAGAAAAUAAACGUCUUACAGAACGGGUUCCAUUUGCCGUUGUCGGUAGCAACCACAUUAUGGAGGUCAGCGGGAAGCGGGUCAGAGGUCGACAGUAUCCUUGGGGAAUCGCUGAAGUCGAGAACUUGGAACACUGUGAUUUCAUUCCUCUUCGUAACAUGCUAAUCAGAACACACAUGCAAGACCUCAAAGAUGUGACCAACAAUGUCCACUAUGAGAACUUCAGAUGUCGUAAACUCACCGCAGUCACGUCGGGCGACGCUAAGAGAGGCGGAAAGGCUAGCUCAAAGAACCCGAUAGCACAGUUUGAGGAGGAGAAGCUUGAGCAUGACAAGAAGAUGAGAAAGAUGGAAUCAGAGAUGGAACAAGUCUUUGAGAUGAAGGUCAAAGAAAAACAGAAGGGAUUAGAAGACUCAGAAGCCGAUAUGCAAAAACGUCUGGAACAGAUGAAGAAGGGCCUGGAACAGCAGCAGCGUGACUUGGAAGAAAAGAGGAGAAACUUUGAGAAAGAGAAGGAAGCUUUCGAUGAAAACCAACGUAUAAGGGAUGAACAACAUAAAGGAUCAAAACUGUGGGCCAUGCAAAUUGCAUUCCACAGGAAGAAGAGCAUACUCAUGAAGCCGCCCAAGCUCUUCAGUAGUACUGCCGAUUGACAGCGCCCUCUCUCGGUCGCGGGGGACACUUAACACCAUUUAGGAACAAAACAAAAAAAAUUAAGCGUAAAGAGAAUUCAUCAUACACAUCACCAUCACAUCACCUCAUGCGUAUGUAGCGCACCCGUAGUUUGAGGUCAAGCCUUCCCCGCGACAGAAAUCUCCCCCUGCUGUUUUAUUCGACACUGGAUCCGAAAAAGGCCAAAGGAAAGAAAACUAUAUUUUGAAUACGACAAGACCAUUCAUCCAUUCAUCGCAAUCUCCAAGACCUUUUCUUUUUUUCAAUUAUAUAUUUCUCUAUGUCCAGGAAUUUUAUGUGGUUAUCUGUCUCGUAUUGAUCCCUACCCCCCCCCUCCCCCCUCCCCCAAGUAUCUGAACAAAUGGUCAUAGCAUGGCAAGUUAUGUAAUAUGAGAAAUCGGGACAUUAUUGGUAGGAUUAUCAGUCAACUAUAUAUAUAUGGAUAAAAUUUUAACCACAACCCCAAUAUUGAAAUCUAUUGAUUUUCAUUAGUGGGAACACUUCUGAUCGUGGUUCAGCAUAUAUUCUAAAUGUAUGACGCCAUCUUACACAAUAUUAUUAAAAUUAAGAAAAGUAAGGUGAAAUAAAUUGAAAUUGAUUUUGAUCAAUCAAAGAAUGAAAUGUGAAUUUGUAUCUAAUACAUAAUUUAUAAGGAAAUUUAAAUCAGAGGUAUUUUAUUAUCAUUGUGAUUUUUCUACUUAGACAUUGUUUCGUGGACAUGAAUUACAUUUACAAUGAUAUUUAACAUGUGUAUUCAUACCAUUGCCCAAAUUCAUGCCCACGUAUACAGGAAUGUUCUUUAUUAUUGGGUUUAUUUUUUUCACAUUGUCCUUUUCAUCAAAAGAAAAAAAAAUGGUAUAAGAAAAUUCCUGUACAAUAUUGCAAUUGUAAUAGAUACUAAUGUUUUCUAAAAGAACUAGAUGUCAUGAGACAUUGAUUUCUUUAUUAUUGAAAUUAUUAUGUUCUGUAAGAUAUACCCCUGUUUGUACGAUUAAUUAUUGAAUAUGUCACCUCAAGCAUUUCAGUGUCACAGUCAGUUAUCUAUCCUGUAGAUGAGUGUUGGAAUAACAGUUGAAUUCAUGACAAUAGAAAUUCCCAGUGAAUCAAAUGCAAGUGCACCCUUCCUUUAAUAGCAUUAAAUUAUCAUUAGUCAUUCAAAAUGAGAAUUGGGCUUUAUUUGUUUUUGACUUGUGGUCAAGUUUCUCUUUAAAUACCUGUGUUGGAAUUUAACAAGAAAAUCAGAAGAUGUUACAUGUAUGUGGGAAAAAAAAAAGAAUCCCAAUCAAAAUGUAGGGUUAUUCUUUUUCAUUUUCUAUUUUCUUUAAGAUACCAUACCUCAGUGCAGCUUAAACAUCUAUUCUAAUCAUAGAUGUGCUUUUCUUUUAUGUGUUGUUCUAUACCCCUCUUUUAUUGUAAUCUAAUGUUUUAGUCAUGGUGCUCUUUCAAGCUUCAAUAAAUGUUAAAACUUACUUUAAUUAUUCUUUUAGAAUUAUGUUAGGAAACAACCAAGAAAUUUAUGCGAUAAUGAAUGAUUUAUUUGUGUUCAGGUGUUAGCGUUAUGAGACUGAAUACAAUAAUAAAUGUCAAAUCAUGAACACCAAAUCUUUUUCAUAGGUGUUGAAGGUGACACUAAUUUGACACCAACCAACACUAAACCUGUAAUUUUCCCCUCAACUUUUGUAUUGUUAUUGUAGAUAUUCUCAAGAACUUAUAUGUUCCUCCAUAAUGGUUAGAAGUCACUUUUUUUAAUAUAUAUGUAUCAGCAAUUAUUCUCAUGUUCCACAAUAACCUUAGCAACUAACAUAGGCGUUAGCAUGUUGAGGUUUUCUUUGUACAUUACCACAUUGUAUUUCUGAAGUCUAUCUGCAGUAUAGUUGACAAAGUACAUCUUGCGAGCAAUCAGGCUUCCAUGUGUUAAGUUUAUUUUGAAAGCCACAAUUUUUCAGUUUUCUCUUUCUUCACGACUAUUUGAAUAACACAUGUGCCUAUGGUAUUUAUUAUUUUUUAUCGAAACAAUGAUGAAUAUGUGCUUGUAUAGAUUGAAUGUCUUGUACCUCUCCAAUACAUGUAUGCAUCUAUUUUAUAACUGUCAUAACUACUAAUAAAAUGUCUGUAGCAAAAAGAUAUGUACAUGUAGAUAGAGCCCAGACAUUACAUAGCAUUGUAAGCUUUUAUACAUCAGUCUUUAUAGUGGUCGUAGCGCCAGGAACCAAUCGGCGUUAUUUUACUGGAGUAUAUACAUAUCUGUACAUAUUAUGUAAUUUAAAUUGCAAGGUUAAGCCUAAAGUGCUUUUCCAACACGUUUUUUUUUAUUUGCGGGACUACAUGACUUCAUUUAUGAAUGAAUCUGGCCAAAAAAUCUUUACCCCCUUUUGUUUUUUAGAAAUUCAUUUGAAUGUAUUUUUAUGUCACGUUUCUGUUUGAAUAGGUAUACAUAAACAGAGGAAUCUAUAAAAAUGCUGCUUUUGUUAUGAAAUUUGGUAUGUUUUGGGGAAAAGGUGAAUUGGUGUAGGUUGUAUGUUCACCUUCACAUAGUUUCAAGGAUACAUGUUUUUAACUAUUGAAGCCUAUAGAUCUUGAAAUCACAUAGACAUGGGACCUUGACAUAUCUCAGCAAACAUUAAUUCUUGCUGAUGAAACUUUUUUUCCUCUACAGCAAGCACCAGUUUCAUAUGAAUUAUGCAAAAUAAAAAGUAUUAUUUGGCCAUAUUACGAAGCUUCACUCGAUUCUUAAAAUAAAUAUAAUAUACGGUGAUGGGUAUGAAAAUAAUAGCUGUGAUAUAUCUCAGAAACAAUUUAUACAGAAAUGUCCAAGUGAUCUUAUUUUUUAUGAGAAGUAAGUCAUGAUAUUAUUCUAAUAUUUGAUUUUUAUGUGGAAUACAUUCAAUAUUUGUAUACAUGCUUGAAUGUCCCCUAUGUCUUGUACGUACAAAAGUAAUGUACAUAUGAUAUAAACCACCAAGAAUAUGGACUAAAAAAAAUACAAUCUGUUUUAUUUGACAAACUUUGAUUGAAUAAAGUUUCCCAUGUUAUACAUUCAA
RNA transcript from Lytechinus pictus (painted urchin), 4136 nucleotides. It is a transcript of the gene named septin-7-like, with no coding region annotated. Lineage: Eukaryota; Metazoa; Echinodermata; Echinoidea; Temnopleuroida; Toxopneustidae. The transcript is spliced from 10 exons. The record is from RefSeq and is a predicted model, not a curated record.